AUUGUACUACAAUGACGUAGAUAGAUAAUAACCCGCGUAUUCGACGGAUUAACGGUUAAAGGACGGCCGAAGGAAUGACCGAUUGGAUUCUCAAUGCAAUUGAACAACGGGUAAUUUUAAUUUGGUUUUUUUCCUUUUUUUUUUUUAACCGAAAAUUAAUCCAAGUAUUCGACUAUAAUAUUUAUUUAAAUGACAAACGUAUUUUGAUUUAGAUGCUGUUCGAUCUGAAUGUACCAUGCAUCACAUUGCAUACUACCGUCUGAUAUUUCCGGUUUAUGAAACUGAUUUGAGCAAAUGUUUUUACUACAACCCGUGGCCCGUGCCUGUCAAUUGCGGC
This is a non-coding RNA of Cinara cedri, 337 nucleotides long. NCBI's taxonomy places the organism in Eukaryota, Metazoa, Arthropoda, Insecta, Hemiptera, Aphididae. The record is from the annotation of a GenBank genome assembly.